AUAGGUUUGGUCCCUGCCUUCCUGUUAACUUUCAAUAGACUUAUACAUGCAAGCAUCCACGCCCCGGUGAGUAACGCCCUUCGAAUCACACAGGACUAAAAGGAGCAGGUAUCAAGCACACACUCUUGUAGCUCACAACGCCUUGCUUAACCACACCCCCACGGGAGACAGCAGUAACAAAAAUUAAGCCAUAAACGAAAGUUUGACUAAGCCAUAUUGACCAGGGUUGGUAAAUCUCGUGCCAGCCACCGCGGUCAUACGAUUGACCCAAGCUAACAGGAGUACGGCGUAAAGCGUGUUAAAGCAUCAUACUAAAUAGAGUUAAAUUUUAAUUAAACCGUAAAAAGCCAUAAUUAUAACAAAAAUAAAUGACGAAAGUAACCCUACAAUAGCUGAUACACCAUAGCUAAGACCCAAACUGGGAUUAGAUACCCCACUAUGCUUAGCCCUAAACACAAAUAAUUAU
Molecule: ribosomal RNA, 466 nt
Filed under: Ovis aries (sheep)
Lineage: Eukaryota; Metazoa; Chordata; Mammalia; Artiodactyla; Bovidae
Description: partial 12S ribosomal RNA
Source: RNAcentral